GACGAACGCUGGCGGCGUGCUUAACACAUGCCAGUCGAACGGAAAGGCCUCUUUCGGGGGGUACUCGAGUGGCGAACGGGUGAGUAACACGUGAGUAACCUGCCCUUGACUUUGGGAUAACUUCAGGAAACUGGGGCUAAUACCGGAUAGGAGCUCCUGCUGCAUGGUGGGGGUUGGAAAGUUUCGGCGGUUGGGGAUGGACUCGCGGCGUAUCAGCUUGUUGGUGGGGUAGUGGCUUACCAAGGCUUUGACGGGUAGCCGGCCUGAGAGGGUGACCGGCCACAUUGGGACUGAGAUACGGCCCAGACUCCGACGGGAGGCAGCAGUGGGGAAUAUUGCACAAUGGGUGGAAGCCUGAUGCAGCAACGCCGUGUGCGGGAUGACGGCCUUCGGGUUGUAAACCGCAUUCGCUCAUGACGAAGCUUUGUGUGACGGUAGUGGGUAAAGAAGCACCGGCUAACUACGUG
Molecule: ribosomal RNA, 467 nt
Filed under: uncultured bacterium
Lineage: Bacteria
Description: partial 16S ribosomal RNA
Rfam family: Bacterial small subunit ribosomal RNA
Source: RNAcentral